This 608-nucleotide ribosomal RNA is filed under the name uncultured bacterium. RNAcentral's name for it is "bacterial SSU rRNA". It matches the Rfam family "Bacterial small subunit ribosomal RNA", at positions 218 to 842 of the family's 1533-position model. The record is from RNAcentral.
GUAUGAGAUGGACCCGCGUCUGAUUAGCUGGUUGGCGGGGUAACGGCCCACCAAGGCGACGAUCAGUAGCCGACCUGAGAGGGUGGCCGGCCACAUUGGGACUGAGACACGGCCCAAACUCCUACGGGAGGCAGCAGUGGGGAAUAUUGCACAAUGGGGGAAACCCUGAUGCAGCAACGCCGCGUGAGUGAAGAAGUAUUUCGGUAUGUAAAGCUCUAUCAGCAGGGAAGAAAAAAGACGGUACCUGACUAAGAAGCCCCGGCUAACUACGUGCCAGCAGCCGCGGUAAUACGUAGGGGGCAAGCGUUAUCCGGAUUUACUGGGUGUAAAGGGAGCGUAGACGGCAUAGCAAGUCUGAAGUGAAAGCCCGUGGCUCAACCGCGGAACUGCUUUGGAAACUGUUAAGCUGGAGUACUGGAGAGGCAAGCGGAAUUCCUAGUGUAGCGGUGAAAUGCGUAGAUAUUAGGAGGAACACCAGUGGCGAAGGCGGCUUGCUGGACAGAGACUGACGUUGAGGCUCGAAAGCGUGGGGAGCAAACAGGAUUAGAUACCCUGGUAGUCCACGCGGUAAACGAUGAAUGCUAGGUGUUGGCGGGCAAAGCCCGUCG